AUGGACGCCCCGUCGAUGGCGCUCUACAACCAGCUCAAUGCUGCCCAACCAUUCUUCUUGUUAGCUGGGCCCAAUGUGAUCGAAUCAGAGGAACAUGUCAUGAAGAUGGCCAAACACAUCAAAGCCAUCACAACCAAGCUUGGGGUGCCUCUUGUGUUCAAAUCAAGCUUUGAUAAAGCAAACCGUACAUCGUCGAAAUCCUUCCGCGGUCCUGAUCCUUGA
Molecule: ribosomal RNA, 222 nt
Filed under: Triticum aestivum (bread wheat)
Lineage: Eukaryota; Viridiplantae; Streptophyta; Magnoliopsida; Poales; Poaceae
Description: partial small subunit ribosomal RNA
Source: RNAcentral